UGGUGGAGUGAUUUGUCUGGUUAAUUCCGUUAACGAACGAGACCUUAGCCUACUAACUAGUCGAACCAAUUCGCAUUGGUUACGACUUCUUAGAGGGACUUUGUGCAAACACAAGGAAGUUUGAGGCAAUAACA
This 134-nucleotide ribosomal RNA is filed under the name uncultured eukaryote. RNAcentral's name for it is "partial 18S ribosomal RNA". It matches the Rfam family "Eukaryotic small subunit ribosomal RNA", at positions 1299 to 1458 of the family's 1831-position model. The record is from RNAcentral.